Hyla sarda is the source of this 420-nucleotide long non-coding RNA. RefSeq lists it as uncharacterized. The transcript is spliced from 3 exons. The record is from RefSeq and is a predicted model, not a curated record. Lineage: Eukaryota; Metazoa; Chordata; Amphibia; Anura; Hylidae.
UCCACGGCAAUAAUGUCAGGUCAGCUCAUUUCCCAGCGCGCGCCUUCAGCUAUUUGCCUCGUCCCAGGAAGAGAAGCUUUGAGUUGAUAAACAUCAGCAAUAUGAAUGAAGAAAAAAUCCGAGACCGAAAGCCUCAUCCGAUGAUAUGUCAGACGGAGGGGACCUCAAGACGUGCAAGAAAUCAUGGCUUAUAAAAAAGACCACUAGGGGUCCCCAUACCAUAUAGAACAUAAUCCUGUCCGGCUGUCCUAUCAGACUGCAGCAUGAAAACAGAGAGGAGGGGGUUACAAAGCAGCCUGCAGUGAUUGGAUGAAGAGACUAUACACAACACAGCAGACUUAGGGAGGAAGUGAAUUUAUGAGAAGUCACAUCAGGUAAAAGAUGGAUAGAAUUCUGACAUUAUCGCCCAUGUUUUAAAGG